RNAcentral lists this ribosomal RNA (254 nucleotides) under uncultured bacterium. RNAcentral describes it as "partial 16S ribosomal RNA". It matches the Rfam family "Bacterial small subunit ribosomal RNA", at positions 524 to 776 of the family's 1533-position model. The record is from RNAcentral.
UACGUAGGGUGCAAGCGUUAAUCGGAAUUACUGGGCGUAAAGCGUGCGCAGGCGGUGAUGUAAGACAGGUGUGAAAUCCCCGGGCUUAACCUGGGAACUGCAUUUGUGACUGUAUGACUAGAGUACGGUAGAGAGGGGUGGAAUUCCUGGUGUAGCGGUGGAAUGCGCAGAUAUCAGGAGGAACACCGAUGGCGAAGGCAGAUCUCUGGGCCGUAACUGACGCUGAGGAGCGAAAGCAUGGGGGAGCGAACAGG